AGUCGAGGGGCAGCAUGACUGUAGCAAUACAGUUGAUGGCGACCGGCAAACGGGUGCGGAACACGUACAGAACCUCCCUUCGAGCGGGGAAUAGCCCGGAGAAAUCCGGAUUAAUACCCCAUAGUAUGGUGAAGAGGCAUCUCUUUACUAUUAAAGAUUUAUCACUUGAAGAUGGCUGUGCGGCUGAUUAGGUAGUUGGCGGGGUAACGGCCCACCAAGCCUGCGAUCAGUAACUGGUGUGAGAGCACGACCAGUCACACGGGCACUGAGACACGGGCCCGACUCCUACGGGAGGCAGCAGUAAGGAAUAUUGGUCAAUGGACGAAAGUCUGAACCAGCCAUGCCGCGUGGAGGAUGAAGGUCCUCUGGAUUGUAAACUUCUUUUAUAUGGGACGAAAAAAGGCUUUUCCAGGUCGUCUGACGGUACCAUAUGAAUAAGCACCGGCUAACUCCGUGCCAGCAGCCGCGGUAAUACGGAGGGUGCAAGCGUUAUCCGGAUUCACUGGGUUUAAAGGGUGCGUAGGUGGGUUGAUAAGUCAGUGGUGAAAUCCCCGAGCUUAACUUGGGAACUGCCAUUGAUACUAUUGAUCUUGAAUACCGUGGAGGUCAGCGGAAUAUGUCAUGUAGCGGUGAAAUGCUUAGAUAUGACAUAGAACACCAAUUGCGAAGGCAGCUGGCUACGCGAAUAUUGACACUGAUGCACGAAAGCGUGGGGAUCAAACAGGAUUAGAUACCCUGGUAGUCCACGCCCUAAACUAUGGAUACUCGACAUCAGCGAUACACUGUUGGUGUCUGAGCGA
Molecule: ribosomal RNA, 800 nt
Filed under: uncultured Sphingobacteriia bacterium
Lineage: Bacteria; Pseudomonadati; Bacteroidota; Sphingobacteriia
Description: bacterial SSU rRNA
Rfam family: Bacterial small subunit ribosomal RNA
Source: RNAcentral